This 558-nucleotide ribosomal RNA is filed under the name Fischerella thermalis CCMEE 5273. RNAcentral describes it as "bacterial LSU rRNA". It matches the Rfam family "Bacterial large subunit ribosomal RNA", at positions 1968 to 2524 of the family's 2925-position model. Lineage: Bacteria; Bacillati; Cyanobacteriota; Cyanophyceae; Nostocales; Hapalosiphonaceae. The record is from RNAcentral.
CUUGUCGGGUAAGUUCCGACCCGCACGAAAGGCGUAACGAUCUGGAUGGUGUCUCGGAGAGAGACUCGGCGAAAUAGGAUUGUCUGUGAAGAUACGGACUACCUGCACCUGGACAGAAAGACCCUAUGAAGCUUUACUGUAACCUGGAAUGGUGUCCGGGCUGAGCUUGCGCAGGAUAGGUGGGAGGCACUGAGGCAUUCCUUGUGGGGGAUGCGGAGCCAACGGUGAGAUACCACUCUAGUUCAGCUAGGAUUCUAACCCGCGACCGUCAUCCGGUCGGGAGACAGUUUCAGGCGGGCAGUUUGACUGGGGCGGUCGCCUCCUAAAAGAUAACGGAGGCGCGCAAAGGUUCCCUCAGCACGCUUGGAAACCGUGCGACGAGUGUAAAGGCAUAAAGGGAGCUUGACUGCAACACCAACAAGUGGAGCAGGUAGGAAACUAGGCCUUAGUGAUCCGACGGCGCAGCGUGGAAUGGCCGUCGCUCAACGGAUAAAAGUUACUCUAGGGAUAACAGGCUGAUCUCCCCCAAGAGUCCACAUCGACGGGGAGGUUUGGCAC